This is a long non-coding RNA of Esox lucius (northern pike), 808 nucleotides long. NCBI's taxonomy places the organism in Eukaryota, Metazoa, Chordata, Actinopteri, Esociformes, Esocidae. The record is from Ensembl.
GUUGGGAACCCCUAGUCUACCACACAGAACUAACAUCAUCGUUUUAUUCCAUAGGUCCUAGUGCAGACUUCAACAAGAGACCAAGGAGAAGAAGUUAAAGAUGGAGGUAUCAGCAGUCAAGCUUGGUCAGUAUAAGAGAGUCUGAAGGAGAUUGAACUCAGCAACUAGGAUUCACUAGAUUGUGACGCCAAGGCAAACCAAUUCAUUGGUGCCAAUUCUACCAUCCUCAAUUGGACGUGUGGGCCCAGAGAUUUUAAUCUUUGUCUUCCAUUGAUCAUUCAGGGGUCCCAAUGUCAUCCAGUUAAAUGGACAAAUUAAUUAAUGUAGGUCUGUCAAUCAUUCAGAUAAUUAUGGGGUUCAACUUAAAUACCUGUUGAUAGCAUGAAACUGAAUUUACAUUUAUUGUUAUUUGUUUCCAAAUAAUUACGGUCAGAAAUCAUCUGUUAUGUAAGCGAGGAAUACAUUUAACAAAAUGUAUGCCCAUCCUCAGAGUUGAAGUUAGAAAGAGAAGCAAACAGUAGGCAUGAAGAAGAAAAAGAAAAGCUAAAGGGAAAAUAUAGAGUUAAGAAGACAUUGAAGGAAUCUGAAGAGAAGAUAAAGGAGAAGGACUCAACUCUGGAGGAGAUGAAGAAGACAUUGAAUCUGAAGAGAAGAUAAAAGAGAAGGGCUCAACUCUGGGGGAGAUGAAGAAGACAGAAGAGAAGCAUCUAAAGGAAAAAGACAGAAAAGUAAACUUGCUCAACAGUUGAGCGAUUUGAAGUUUGAAAUGGAGAAACUGAAAACAAAAACCUCAGUCCUGAAGACCGGU